RNAcentral lists this ribosomal RNA (253 nucleotides) under uncultured bacterium. Its description in RNAcentral is "partial 16S ribosomal RNA". It matches the Rfam family "Bacterial small subunit ribosomal RNA", at positions 524 to 776 of the family's 1533-position model. The record is from RNAcentral.
UACAGAGACUGCAAGCGUUAUUCGGAUUCACUGGGCGUAAAGGGUGCGCAGGCGGCCAAGUGUGUGAGGCGUGAAAGCCCGGGGCUUAACCCCGGAAUUGCACCUCAAACUACAUGGCUAGAGCAUUGGAGAAGGUAGCAGAAUUCAUGGUGUAGCAGUGAAAUGCGUAGAUAUCAUGAGGAAUACCAGAGGCGAAGGCGGCUACCUGGACAAUUGCUGACGCUCAGGCACGAAAGCGUGGGGAGCAAAAGGG